GGGAUCAAUUCCUUAUUUCUACCAUGAGACAGGCAAGAUAAAGAAGAGUUGAUAAUUUCUGCACCCAUCUUACUUCCUGCCCACCACAGAGCAGUUCACCCAGUGGCCUGGUUGGAUGUUAGCCAUUGGCAGGGCAAGAAAUCCAACAAUCGACUGUUGAAGAAUUCCAGAGAAUCAGUCUGGAUCUCUUUCACACAGACAAAGUCUUGUUCCAGCUAAUCUUAGGCUCCUAUGCGAGAGGAAAGAUGCUGGGAGGCCAGCACGGUGGCUCACACCCAUAAUCCCAGCACUUUGGGGGGCCAAGGUGGGCAGAUCCCUCGAGCCCAGGAAUUCAAAACCAGCCCGGGCAACAUAGUAAUAACCCCCAUCUCUACAAAAAAUUAAGAAAAAUAAUUAGCCAGAUGUGUUGGUGCAUGCCUUAGUCCUAACUACUCCGCAAGCUGAGCUGAGAGGAUCACUUGAGCCCAGGAGGUCAAGGUUGCAAAGAGCCAUGAUCCUGUGCCUAGGCAACAGAACGAAAAAGAUGUGAGAAAUACUCAAAGUCUUGGUCUUUACCCAGAAGAAUCAGAGCAAGGAAAAGAAAGAUCUCUUUCCCCAGUUUGACAUCCAUCUUCCUAAAUUUGGACAAAGGGAUCCUAAACCACAGCGUCCUACAGUGAGUCAAAAUGCCCAUGCACUGAUUCUCAUCUCACUGGAGUUACAGACACGGCUCACAGGCUUAAGCGUCUUGCUGUAGGUCAUACGGCAGGUUAAUGACAACACUGGGGCAAGAACACAGGUUACGCUCGUCCUGGGGAAGGCUCCCACACCAAGCUACACACUUCUGCAAUGCUGUUCCAGAUGUGAAAAUCCGCUAAGACAAAUAGGUCACAAAAACACCAUGGGAAACGAUGAUGUCUUUUCCUUUUUGUUAUCUUGAUAAAGCUUCAUACAUGAAUGAUAAAAUGGAAAUUUCAGUUGAGGAACUAAUAAAUCAACAGAUGUCUUACUCCACAACGAGGUGCAAGAUCUUGAGGCUGGAUUUAGAAAGAGGAAGAGAAGACCAAUUGCACAGCUCAUCACCCCUCACCCAUCUGAUGAUAUGAAAGGUUUGAAGGAAGCCAGAGCUGGAGCAAGAUUUUCCUCAGAUGAGUUUUGAUGAACUACAAAGAAUGAAGAUGCUCUCCCUUGUCAUCCCCAGUCAAAGAAAAGGCACUUUAAAGAAAUCACUCACGAGCCAGAUAUUGUGGUUGUAUUUUGGUGGACACAGUGAAGUCACGUCUGGCUCGCUCCGCAAAUACUGGGAGGGUGAGAAGUGGGAGGCAGCCGUGGGACCGCUGAGUGGAGGAGGCUGACCUUUGAGGAAGCACGUGGGAUUUUUCCCCGCGGAACAGACGUGAGCCAUGAACACGGGAGCAAAAGUGUGCUAGAGUAACUCCCGUCAAAGAGAGACCCUUACUAGGGCAAGAAGACCUUGAUCAAAGCAUACCCAGAUGCCGAGGUUCUGAGGAAGGAAAUAAGUGACCACCAGGCAUGGUGCUCUGAUUAUUAAGCUAGUUUCUCAGCUCCAAACUCAACCUUCACUGCUUAGCCUUGUCACGGUGGGAAGGCUGGGAGAGGCCAAACCACCUUUCCCCUUUGCCAGGGCUCCCUGAUCAGUUCUGCCUAUGUGCUACUAAGGGAAACAGUAAGGCUGGAGGAGGGAAAGGGGACACCACCCUUCUCUUUGCGCACUGCUUAUGCCAGCAGCAUCCGAGCAAUACCGCUUGCCCUGUAGUGCUUCUUGAGUCGGAUUUCAGUUCAGUGUCUGGGUUUUUUAACAUUUCUAUAACCAUUCUCCCUCCUCAAUAGCACUCCCACAUCAGAAGCUGAGUCCCAGCUCCCUGACUUCUCCAGAUCCUAGAACUAUCAGCACCAGCAGCAGCACACAUUCCAUUCCUGUGGGGCUUGGCUCUGUGAGGCUCCUCUCAGCUCCCAGAUUCUCCCAACACAACUUCUUUCCUUUGUUCCCCCAGACUUCGAGCAGGUCAUUUCUUGCUAUGCCUGUCUAACCCCUUCCCUAAAUUCAAUUCUCUCUGUUAAGAUAACCAGUAUGUUUCUGCUUUCCAGUCUGGAUUCUGAUUGAUACACAAAAGCUGCAUUCCCACAUCAAGGGAACUCCGAGUGUUCACCCUCCGUGGUAAGGGGAGACUGGGAGACCCCACAAAAGCAUCCCAAGAGAGGAAGAGUCCCUUUACACACCUGCUGCCCCGUGUGUGGAUGCCCACUGAGCACGGAAGUUGUCAAGGACAAAAGGAGGAACUAGCCCACCAAGCAGGUUUAAAGGGAGUGUCGGACACAAAAAUGACAUGCCCCAUAUUGCAGUCUAGAAGGAACAACACGGUGAAUUGUCUACUGCAGAACACUUCACUCUGUCUCGAUUACUACAUGGUGAAUUGAAGUUCCAGUAGAGAGGGAGUUGAGCUGAUACUGAGGAGGUA
Molecule: long non-coding RNA, 2459 nt
Filed under: Homo sapiens (human)
Lineage: Eukaryota; Metazoa; Chordata; Mammalia; Primates; Hominidae
Description: non-protein coding lnc-RNF144A-2:10
Source: RNAcentral